This 373-nucleotide ribosomal RNA is filed under the name uncultured bacterium. RNAcentral describes it as "bacterial SSU rRNA". It matches the Rfam family "Bacterial small subunit ribosomal RNA", at positions 521 to 896 of the family's 1533-position model. The record is from RNAcentral.
UAAUACGUAGGUGGCAAGCGUUGUCCGGAUUUACUGGGCGUAAAGCGCGCGCAGGCGGAUGGUUAAGUAGGAAGUGAAAGGUUGGAGCUCAACUCCAACAUUGCUCCCUAUACUGGCCGUCUUGAGUCCCGGAGAGGAAAGCGGAACGACACGUGGAGCGGUGAAAUGCGUUGAUAUGUGUCGGAACACCAAUGGCGAAGGCAGCUUUCUGGACGGGUACUGACGCUCAGGCGCGAAAGCCGAGGUAGCGAACAGGAUUAGAUACCCUGGUAGUCUCGGCCCUAAACGAUGAUCACUAGGUGUCGGGGGGUUUCCCUCGGUGCCGCAGCUAACGCAUUAAGUGAUCCGCCUGGGGACUACGGCCGCAAGGUUG